RNAcentral lists this ribosomal RNA (473 nucleotides) under unidentified nematode Sourhope farm. Its description in RNAcentral is "SSU rRNA". It matches the Rfam family "Eukaryotic small subunit ribosomal RNA", at positions 58 to 529 of the family's 1831-position model. The record is from RNAcentral. Lineage: Eukaryota; Metazoa; Nematoda.
UCUAAGUAUAAACGAUUUAAUCGUGAAACCGCGAAUGGCUCAUUAUAACAGCUAAAAUCUACUUGAUCUUGACACAAUCCUACUUGGAUAACUGUGGUAAUUCUAGAGCUAAUACAUGCAUUAAAGCUCUGACCUCACGGGACGAGUGCAUUUAUUAGAACAAAACCAAGCGGCUUCGGCUGUUUUCGGUUGACUCAUAGUAACUGAGCUGAUCGCAUGGUCUUGCACCGGCGACGUGUCUUUCGAGUAUCUGCCGUAUCAACUUUCGAUGGUAGUGUAUCUGACUACCAUGGUGAUCACGCGUAACGGAGAAUAAGGGUUCGACUCCGGAGAGUUCGCCUGAGAAAUCGCGAACACAUCUAAGGAAGGCAGCAGGCGCGAAAAUUACCCACUCUCAGCACGAGGAGGUAGUGACGAAAAAUAACGAGACCGUUCUCUUUCGAGGCCGGUCAUCGGAAUGGGUACAAUUUAAA